Molecule: non-coding RNA, 331 nt
Organism: Schizosaccharomyces pombe (fission yeast)
Lineage: Eukaryota; Fungi; Ascomycota; Schizosaccharomycetes; Schizosaccharomycetales; Schizosaccharomycetaceae
Source: the annotation of a GenBank genome assembly
AUUUCAGAACUAUAUGUUCCAAACUGAACAGAAAAAAGGUUUCGACAAAGAUUGUAUUAGAUUACAGUGCAGUAAAUUUGAAACCAUUAUCAAUUAUUCUAGCGCAACUUUCUCAUAACCCAAAUUGCGUAUAUAGAUGGACGCCAAUUUUAAAAAAAAUGCAAGUUAUUUUCACGAAAAUGCGAGGGCAUCUUCAUGAGUUUGAUCGAGAUCGUAUACAGAACCCCCUUUUUGUUAUCCUUUUCGCAUUAGUUUAACCCAGCAUACAACUCAUAAAGAGAGCAAUAUGAUUCAUGGUUAAGAGGCAAUCAAAAGGACGCCUGGAAGGAAA